This 477-nucleotide ribosomal RNA is filed under the name uncultured bacterium. Its description in RNAcentral is "bacterial SSU rRNA". It matches the Rfam family "Bacterial small subunit ribosomal RNA", at positions 365 to 832 of the family's 1533-position model. The record is from RNAcentral.
UUCGCAAUGCCCGAAAGGGUGACGAAGCGACGCCGCGUGUGGGAAGAAGGCCUUCGGGUUGUAAACCACUGUCGGGAGUUAAGAAAUGCAAGGAUAUGAAUAGUGUCUUUGCUUGACUAAGGCUCCGGAGGAAGCCACGGCUAACUCUGUGCCAGCAGCUGCGGUAAUACAGAGGCGGCAAGCGUUGUUCGGAAUUAUUGGGCGUAAAGAGCACGUAGGCGGCUAUGUAAGUCGGUUGUGAAAGCCUUCCGCUCAACGGAAGAACAGCAUCCGAUACUACAUGGCUUGAGUGCGGGAGGGGAGAGUGGAACUUCUGGUGGAGCGGUGAAAUGCGUAGAUAUCAGAAGGAACGCCGGCGGCGAAAGCGGCUCUCUGGCCCAUAACUGACGCUGAGUGUGCGAAAGCUAGGGGAGCAAACGGGAUUAGAUACCCCGGUAGUCCUAGCCGUAAACGAUGGGCACUAAGUAGAGGGGUUUU